UGCAAGUCGAGCGAAUGGAUUAAGAGCUUGCUCUUAUGAAGUUAGCGGCGGACGGGUGAGUAACACGUGGGUAACCUGCCCAUAAGACUGGGAUAACUCCGGGAAACCGGGGCUAAUACCGGAUAACAUUUUGAACCGCAUGGUUCGAAAUUGAAAGGCGGCUUCGGCUGUCACUUAUGGAUGGACCCGCGUCGCAUUAGCUAGUUGGUGAGGUAACGGCUCACCAAGGCAACGAUGCGUAGCCGACCUGAGAGGGUGAUCGGCCACACUGGGACUGAGACACGGCCCAGACUCCUACGGGAGGCAGCAGUAGGGAAUCUUCCGCAAUGGACGAAAGUCUGACGGAGCAACGCCGCGUGAGUGAUGAAGGCUUUCGGGUCGUAAAACUCUGUUGUUAGGGAAGAACAAGUGCUAGUUGAAUAAGCUGGCACCUUGACGGUACCUAACCAGAAAGCCACGGCUAACUACGUGCCAGCAGCCGCGGUAAUACGUAGGUGGCAAGCGUUAUCCGGAAUUAUUGGGCGUAAAGCGCGCGCAGGUGGUUUCUUAAGUCUGAUGUGAAAGCCCACGGCUCAACCGUGGAGGGUCAUUGGAAACUGGGAGACUUGAGUGCAGAAGAGGAAAGUGGAAUUCCAUGUGUAGCGGUGAAAUGCGUAGAGAUAUGGAGGAACACCAGUGGCGAAGGCGACUUUCUGGUCUGUAACUGACACUGAGGCGCGAAAGCGUGGGGAGCAAACAGG
RNAcentral lists this ribosomal RNA (740 nucleotides) under Bacillus sp. ZD31. RNAcentral describes it as "bacterial SSU rRNA". It matches the Rfam family "Bacterial small subunit ribosomal RNA", at positions 56 to 776 of the family's 1533-position model. The record is from RNAcentral. Lineage: Bacteria; Bacillati; Bacillota; Bacilli; Caryophanales; Bacillaceae.